RNAcentral lists this transfer RNA (69 nucleotides) under Araneus ventricosus. It matches the Rfam family "tRNA". Rfam says of the family: Transfer RNA (tRNA) molecules are approximately 80 nucleotides in length. Lineage: Eukaryota; Metazoa; Arthropoda; Arachnida; Araneae; Araneidae. The record is from Rfam by way of RNAcentral.
GCCCUCUUGGCCUAACGGAUAAGGCAUCGGUCUCCUAAACCGGAUUGCGGGUUCAGAUCGCCGAGGGUA